UCGUGUCGUGAGAUGUCGGUUAAGUCCGCUAACGAGCGCAACCCUCGCUGUGUGUUACAAGUGUCACACGGAACUGCCGGUCAUAAACCGGAGGAAGGUGGGGAUGACGUCAAGUCAGCAUGGCCUUUAUAUCCUGGGCUACACACACGCUACAAUGGGAAGGGACAAUAGGUUGCGAAGCCGCGAGGCGGAGCCAAUCCAGCAAAACUUCCCUCAGUUCAGAUUGCAGGCUGCAACCCGCCUGCAUGAAGUUGGAGUUGCUAGUAAACGCAGGUCAGCCAUACUGCGUUGAAUACGUUCCCGGGGCUU
Molecule: ribosomal RNA, 309 nt
Filed under: uncultured Anaerolineaceae bacterium
Lineage: Bacteria; Bacillati; Chloroflexota; Anaerolineae; Anaerolineales; Anaerolineaceae
Description: bacterial SSU rRNA
Rfam family: Bacterial small subunit ribosomal RNA
Source: RNAcentral